Molecule: ribosomal RNA, 497 nt
Filed under: uncultured bacterium
Lineage: Bacteria
Description: partial 16S ribosomal RNA
Rfam family: Bacterial small subunit ribosomal RNA
Source: RNAcentral
GAUGAACGCUGGCGGCGUGCCUAAUACAUGCAAGUCGAGCGAACGGACGAGAAGCUUGCUUCUCUGAUGUUAGCGGCGGACGGGUGAGUAACACGUGGCUAACCGACCUAGAAGACUGGGAUAACUUCGGGAAACCGGAUCUAAUACCGGUUAAUAUUGUGAACCGCAUGGUUCUAAAGUGAACGACGUUCUUGCUGUCACUUAUAGAUGUAUCCGCGCUGCAUUAGCUAGUUGGUAAGGUAACGGCUUACCAAGGCAACGAUGCAUAGCCGACCUGAGAGGGUGAUCGGUCACACUGGAACUGAGACACGGUCCAGACUCCUACGGGAGGCAGCAGUAGGGAAUAUUCCGCAAUGGGCGAAAGCCUGACGGAGCCACGCCGCGUGAGUGAUGAAGGUCUUCGGAUCGUAAAACUCUGUUAUUAGGGAAGAACAUAUGUGUAAGUAACUGUGCACGUCUUGACGGUACCUAAUCAGAAAGCAACGGCUAACUACGUG